UAGAGUUUGAUCCUGGCUCAGGAUGAACGCUAGCGGCAGGCUUAACACAUGCAAGUCGAGGGGCAGCGCGGGAUAGCAAUAUCCUGGCGGCGACCGGCGGAAGGGUGCGUAACGCGUGAGCGACAUGCCCGUUGCCCGGGGACAACCGGUGGAAACGCCGACUAAUCCCCGAUGGGAUAUUGUGCCGCAUGGCACGAUAUUGAAAGUUACGGCGGCGACGGAUUGGCUCGCGUCCGAUUAGCUUGUUGGCGGGGUAACGGCCCACCAAGGCUGCGAUCGGUAGGGGUUCUGAGAGGAAGGCCCCCCACAAUGGGACUGAGACACGGCCCAUACUCCUACGGGAGGCAGCAGUGAGGAAUAUUGGUCAAUGGGCGGAAGCCUGAACCAGCCAUGCCGCGUGCGGGAAGGAGGCCCUAUGGGCUGUGAACCGCUUUUGCCUGGGGGCAAUAAGGGCGUCGCGCACGUCCGAUGAGAGUACCAGGCGAAUAAGCAUCGGCUAACUCCGUGCCAGCAGCCGCGGUAAUACGGGGGAUGCGAGCGUUAUCCGGAUUCAUUGGGUUUAAAGGGUGCGUAGGCUGUGCGUCAAGUCGGGGGUGAAAUUCCGGUGCUCAACACCGGGGCUGCCCUUGAUACUGUCGCGCUGGAGUGCGGAUGCCGCCGGAGGAAUGAGUGGUGUAGCGGUGAAAUGCUUAGAUAUCACUCAGAACACCGAUUGCGAAGGCAUCUGGCGAAUCCGUAACUGACGCUGAGGCACGAAAGCGUGGGGAUAGAACAGGAUUAGAUACCCUGGUAUUCCACGCCGUAACGAUGAUGGCUAACCGCCGGCGACACACUGUCGGUGCCAGCGAAAGCGAUAGGCCAGCCACCUGGGGAGUACGUCGGCAACGAUGAACUC
This 895-nucleotide ribosomal RNA is filed under the name uncultured Bacteroidales bacterium. RNAcentral's name for it is "bacterial SSU rRNA". It matches the Rfam family "Bacterial small subunit ribosomal RNA", at positions 1 to 902 of the family's 1533-position model. The record is from RNAcentral. Lineage: Bacteria; Pseudomonadati; Bacteroidota; Bacteroidia; Bacteroidales.